This 1553-nucleotide ribosomal RNA is filed under the name Salmonella enterica subsp. enterica serovar Newport. RNAcentral describes it as "bacterial SSU rRNA". It matches the Rfam family "Bacterial small subunit ribosomal RNA". The record is from RNAcentral. Lineage: Bacteria; Pseudomonadati; Pseudomonadota; Gammaproteobacteria; Enterobacterales; Enterobacteriaceae.
CUUUUAAAUUGAAGAGUUUGAUCAUGGCUCAGAUUGAACGCUGGCGGCAGGCCUAACACAUGCAAGUCGAACGGUAACAGGAAGCAGCUUGCUGCUUUGCUGACGAGUGGCGGACGGGUGAGUAAUGUCUGGGAAACUGCCUGAUGGAGGGGGAUAACUACUGGAAACGGUGGCUAAUACCGCAUAACGUCGCAAGACCAAAGAGGGGGACCUUCGGGCCUCUUGCCAUCAGAUGUGCCCAGAUGGGAUUAGCUAGUUGGUGAGGUAACGGCUCACCAAGGCGACGAUCCCUAGCUGGUCUGAGAGGAUGACCAGCCACACUGGAACUGAGACACGGUCCAGACUCCUACGGGAGGCAGCAGUGGGGAAUAUUGCACAAUGGGCGCAAGCCUGAUGCAGCCAUGCCGCGUGUAUGAAGAAGGCCUUCGGGUUGUAAAGUACUUUCAGCGGGGAGGAAGGUGUUGUGGUUAAUAACCGCAGCAAUUGACGUUACCCGCAGAAGAAGCACCGGCUAACUCCGUGCCAGCAGCCGCGGUAAUACGGAGGGUGCAAGCGUUAAUCGGAAUUACUGGGCGUAAAGCGCACGCAGGCGGUCUGUCAAGUCGGAUGUGAAAUCCCCGGGCUCAACCUGGGAACUGCAUUCGAAACUGGCAGGCUUGAGUCUUGUAGAGGGGGGUAGAAUUCCAGGUGUAGCGGUGAAAUGCGUAGAGAUCUGGAGGAAUACCGGUGGCGAAGGCGGCCCCCUGGACAAAGACUGACGCUCAGGUGCGAAAGCGUGGGGAGCAAACAGGAUUAGAUACCCUGGUAGUCCACGCCGUAAACGAUGUCUACUUGGAGGUUGUGCCCUUGAGGCGUGGCUUCCGGAGCUAACGCGUUAAGUAGACCGCCUGGGGAGUACGGCCGCAAGGUUAAAACUCAAAUGAAUUGACGGGGGCCCGCACAAGCGGUGGAGCAUGUGGUUUAAUUCGAUGCAACGCGAAGAACCUUACCUGGUCUUGACAUCCACAGAACUUUCCAGAGAUGGAUUGGUGCCUUCGGGAACUGUGAGACAGGUGCUGCAUGGCUGUCGUCAGCUCGUGUUGUGAAAUGUUGGGUUAAGUCCCGCAACGAGCGCAACCCUUAUCCUUUGUUGCCAGCGAUUAGGUCGGGAACUCAAAGGAGACUGCCAGUGAUAAACUGGAGGAAGGUGGGGAUGACGUCAAGUCAUCAUGGCCCUUACGACCAGGGCUACACACGUGCUACAAUGGCGCAUACAAAGAGAAGCGACCUCGCGAGAGCAAGCGGACCUCAUAAAGUGCGUCGUAGUCCGGAUUGGAGUCUGCAACUCGACUCCAUGAAGUCGGAAUCGCUAGUAAUCGUGGAUCAGAAUGCCACGGUGAAUACGUUCCCGGGCCUUGUACACACCGCCCGUCACACCAUGGGAGUGGGUUGCAAAAGAAGUAGGUAGCUUAACCUUCGGGAGGGCGCUUACCACUUUGUGAUUCAUGACUGGGGUGAAGUCGUAACAAGGUAACCGUAGGGGAACCUGCGGUUGGAUCACCUCCUUACCUGAA